Molecule: ribosomal RNA, 253 nt
Filed under: uncultured bacterium
Lineage: Bacteria
Description: partial 16S ribosomal RNA
Rfam family: Bacterial small subunit ribosomal RNA
Source: RNAcentral
UACGGAGGGUGCGAGCGUUGCUCGGAAUCACUGGGCGUAAAGCGUACGCAGGCCGUCUUGUAAGUCGGGUGUGAAAUCCCGGGGCUCAACCCCGGAACUGCGCCCGAGACUGCAGGACUUGAAUGCGGGAGAGGAAAGCGGAAUUCCUGGUGUAGAGGUGAAAUUCGUAGAUAUCAGGAGGAACACCUGUGGCGAAAGCGGCUUUCUGGCCCGACAUUGACGCUCAUGUACGAAAGCGCGGGGAGCAAACAGG